UCUUGAUCUUGUUGUUGGACACGUCGUUUUUGUAAAAUCCGUGCUUGUUCACUCUCAAAAUAUGCCUGAACAUUUGGGUUUUGAAAGGAAUUCAAAUCGAAAUGCUUUAAUUGAUCACAUGUGGGAAAAAUAUUCUAAUGGUGUUAUUUAAAAUAAAAUUUGUAAUGUUUUAUUAUUGUUAUAUGAUGUAAUGUUUUUUUUAAUAAAUAAUUAGUGUUUAAUUUAAAUAAUUUCAUAUUUUAUGGGAAUUUUGCAAAUCUAU
Molecule: long non-coding RNA, 262 nt
Filed under: Arabidopsis lyrata
Lineage: Eukaryota; Viridiplantae; Streptophyta; Magnoliopsida; Brassicales; Brassicaceae
Description: long non-coding RNA (ALYR_LNC002530)
Source: RNAcentral